Sciurus carolinensis (gray squirrel) is the source of this 408-nucleotide long non-coding RNA. RefSeq lists it as uncharacterized. The transcript has 3 exons. The record is from RefSeq and is a predicted model, not a curated record. Lineage: Eukaryota; Metazoa; Chordata; Mammalia; Rodentia; Sciuridae.
CCUAGCGCUGGCCUUGGUCUCGGAGCCGCCAUUCUCCGGAUCCACUUCUGGCUUUUCCUCCUGUGCUCAGGAGCCCCAGGUUUCUGUGCGACACAGGGAAGGAGAGACUCUGAGGGAGAACAAGGGACAGAGUGAAGAGCAGGAAAUGUUGCACAUGAAAAUUCAUUUUGGUAUGAUUAUUGAAGCAUGGAAUAUAUCUCUAAUGAGGUCCAAUUUCUUGUAGAUGUUCAUGAUUGUGAAAAUACUAUGGUGUAUUCAAACCAUUGACAUUCAUGGAUGUGGCUAUUGAUUUCUCUCAAGAGGAAUGGGGAUGCCUGGACCAGGCUCAGCAGAAAUUAUACAGAGAUGUGAUGUUGGAGAACUACAGAAACCUGGUCUUUCUGAGUGAGUGAGCUUCCCUUCAGAAUC